This 974-nucleotide long non-coding RNA is filed under the name Triticum aestivum (bread wheat). RNAcentral describes it as "long non-coding RNA (TAES_LNC009452)". Lineage: Eukaryota; Viridiplantae; Streptophyta; Magnoliopsida; Poales; Poaceae. The record is from RNAcentral.
UACCCCAAUGUAGAGCAAUCUUUUGAAAUCUGUUUCAUUGUUACCAACUAAAGUUCUUAUCGUCCUUUCGUGAUAAACUUUAACAUCGCCCUUCUUACUCUUUUGCCACUUCCGAUAGACUCCAAUCUGAACACGAAGCACAGCACAUUCAAUCCAGUGUUUGCAUGGUGGCAAUACCAUCCCUAGAUAUCUAAGGAGUAUUCCAGUGAUUCAGUUUUAAGAAAUCUUGUUUCUUAUGAGUUGCAACUGCUUGGUGGUACUGCAACAUAACUUUGUGGCAGUUGGCUGAUGAUUUUCCCCUCGUUUCUCUAUUCUUGUUUGUUCUGUGUGUCAGCGCUGAUAGCUGAUUCUCUCUGUUGCCUGUACGGGAGGAACCCCUAUAUUCUUUCACCAACUUGCCAUGAUAGUCUUUAAUCAGAACAUGCAAUUCACGUUUUCCAGUGUUUUGCAUGGUGGCAGUACCAUCCUUGGAUAUCCAAGGAGUCUAGUAAUACUUCAAUUUUAAGAAAUCUGUCUGAGUGCAAAAUUCUUCUUGUCCCUUUUCAAAUUAUCUAUAAUCGUUCUGUACCUGACUCCCUUCCCAUUCAUCAUCUCGACUAAUGCUGUCAUUCAUUAGCCAUGCACAUUCUUAGGUGACUACGUUUCUGUGAAUGGUAAGUAGGUAGGUAGAUAGUCAUGGCAGCUCUUUGUAAAUAAUUAAUUUCUGCUUAUGAGUUGGCAACUGCUCGCAAGAUGACUUUGCGGCUACUGUUAAUGCAAUUUUUGUUGGUGAGUUGUGCCCCUUGUAAAUAGAGAACAUGGGUGCUGAAAAUUUGUGGCAAUCGGCUGGUGAUUCACCAACUUGUUUUUUUUGGGGUCUGUUCUGCGUGUUGUGGUAAGGUGUGUGGCCUUCUCUUUUCACUGAAUGUGGAAUUUGACAGUUUUCCGCUGUGCAAUGUGAAAUUGUUUCAUUGUACUCGUAACUUUGCGAGAAA